Molecule: ribosomal RNA, 657 nt
Filed under: Apriona germarii
Lineage: Eukaryota; Metazoa; Arthropoda; Insecta; Coleoptera; Cerambycidae
Description: eukaryotic LSU rRNA
Source: RNAcentral
UUCAGGGGUAAACCUGAGAAACCCGAAAGGUCGAAAGGGGAAAUUCAUUCGCGUUUCGGCCGUCGGAGCGGAACGGUCGAGUGACGGACGGCGUACGCGUCGUCCGCGCCUUUCGUUUCGCGUUCCGGCGUCGAACGCGUGCACUUUUCCUCUAGUAGGACGUCGCGAUCCGUUGGGUGUCGGUUUAAGGCUGGCGCGGUGGAGCCCGAGCGUACGUUUUGCGACGUUCGCGCUCGGACCCGCGGUGUCCCGACCGACUCGCUCGACGGUAUACAGAUGGCGCGAGGCCGCUACUACUUUUCUAGUAGAGUUAGCGUUCGGCCCGCGGCAAGCGCGUUCGGUGUUGAAGACGGCGAUCGGACCUGGUGCCGAUCCCGUCCCCGGACGACUGUUGGCCGCGGUGUUCUCGAACCGACCUCGUUAUGUGAAACGCCGAUCUGCGACGCUAUAGCUUUGGGUACUUUCAGGACCCACGGACCAAGGAGUCUAGCAUGUGCGCGAGUCAUUGGGACAUAACUAAACCUAAAGGCGUAAUGAAAGUGAAGGUCCGCCUUGCGCGGACCGAGGGAGGAUGAGUGGUUUUGGUGGUUUUCGCCGCCGCCGCUCCGCACUCCCGGGGCGUCUCGUUCUCAUCGCGAGAAGAGGCGCACCAAGAGC